GAAAUGCGAUACUUGGUGUGAAUUACAGAAUCUCGCGAACCAUCGAGUCUUUGAACGCAAGUUGCGCCCGAAGCCAUUAGGUUAAGGGCACGUCUGCCUGGCAUCUCAUGUUGCGUCGCCUGCACCCCCUCGAAGGAAGGGCUGUGGGCGGAUGUUGGACCCCCGCGCGCGACCGCGUGCAGUUAGCCCAAAAGCGAGUCCCCCGCGACGGACGACGUGUCGCAACGAGUGGUGGUUCAGAAACCGUUGCAUCGCCUCGCCCGCGUCCAGGCCGUCUUGGCAGGCCUGUCGUGACCCUAUCGCGCCGCUGCCAAGGCGCUCCGAUCGCAACCCCAGGUCAGGUGGGAUUGCCCACUGAGUUUAA
Molecule: unclassified non-coding RNA, 364 nt
Filed under: uncultured fungus
Lineage: Eukaryota; Fungi
Description: sequence contains ITS1
Rfam family: 5.8S ribosomal RNA (bases 1-106)
Source: RNAcentral